RNAcentral lists this ribosomal RNA (581 nucleotides) under Mesanophrys carcini. RNAcentral describes it as "partial small subunit ribosomal RNA". The stretch from base 1 to 492 matches the Rfam family "Bacterial small subunit ribosomal RNA", at positions 918 to 1533 of the family's 1533-position model. Lineage: Eukaryota; Ciliophora; Oligohymenophorea; Philasterida; Orchitophryidae. The record is from RNAcentral.
AAUUUGUUCGAACGGUGGAACAUGUGGUUUAAUGCGAUAAUCCACGAAAAACCUUACCAAUAUUUAAGAUUAGAAAGUAAAAUAGUAAUUUAUUAUUAUAUAUUUUUAAUUUCGGUACUGCAUGGCUGUCGUCAGUUCGUGUUGUGAAAUGUAAAAUUAAGUUUUAUUUACGAACGCAACCUAAAGUAUAUUUAAAUAAAGGUAAUAACUUUAUAAAGUAAUGUACUAAUAUAAAAUUAAUUUAAUUAAUUUUUAGGUUUUUAGCUGAAGUCAAGUCCUUAUGGUCUAUAUAUAUUGGGCUACACACGUGUUACAAUGGUAAAAACAAAAAGUAACAAUUAUGCAAAUAAGAGUAAAUCUUUAAAAAUUACCUAAGUUCAGAUUAUUUUAUGUAACUCUAAAAUAUGAAGUUGAAAUCGUUAGUAAUUGUAAGUAAUUAUAUUACAAUGAAUUAAAAGUCAAAUUUUGCACACACUGCCCAUCACGCUCGGAAAAUUUUAUAUAAUAGAAGAUAAAAUAAAAUAAAUUUUAAUUUUUUUUAAAAUAUUAGUUUUAUUUAUCGUAAUUUUCUAAAGUAAUCU